CGGGGUAGAGUAACGCGUGAGGAACCUGCCUCAAAGAGGGGGACAACAGUUGGAAACGACUGCUAAUACCGCAUAAGCCCACGGCUCGGCAUCGAGCAGAGGGAAAAGGAGCAAUCCGCUUUGAGAUGGCCUCGCGUCCGAUUAGCUGGUUGGUGAGGUAACGGCCCACCAAGGCGACGAUCGGUAGCCGGACUGAGAGGUUGAACGGCCACAUUGGGACUGAGACACGGCCCAG
RNAcentral lists this ribosomal RNA (235 nucleotides) under uncultured bacterium. Its description in RNAcentral is "partial 16S ribosomal RNA". It matches the Rfam family "Bacterial small subunit ribosomal RNA", at positions 104 to 334 of the family's 1533-position model. The record is from RNAcentral.